This is a non-coding RNA of Delphinapterus leucas (beluga whale), 2146 nucleotides long. The record is from RefSeq and is a predicted model, not a curated record. NCBI's taxonomy places the organism in Eukaryota, Metazoa, Chordata, Mammalia, Artiodactyla, Monodontidae.
UGUUCCCACCACCAAAUCCAUAGUUACCCUCCAAGUUGAAAUCUUAUCAUAUUUAACUGGUUCCACAUAAACAGAUCUGUGUAUAUUUUCAGUAGUUUCAGCUGAAACCUGUUAAGAACAGAUGUGCAGAUGGUCGCCCAGCACUGAUCCAUUUAAAUGUAGUUUUCCACGAGCAGCGUUUUCCCUCUGCCCUUCCUUGAGGGGGGAAGAAUAAGAAAGUGGGACCGUUAUUAAGAUGGAUAUUACACGCUUCUGAGUCUCUGCAACCAGCGUUUGCUGUCGGUUUUCCAACAGCAAUGUGGCUCACGAGGCUGUGAGCACAGGGUGUGCCUAUAAUGGACGAUGUUUGACCCCGUGUGGCUGGGAGGAUGGGCCCUUAGCUCUCUCUGGCUGCCACCCAUGUAAGGGUGCUUUCCCGGCUGCUGGGGAGUCAAGCAGCCCCUGUCCGAAGGCUGGAGUAAGUAAGUUAUUCACCUCUUUGACCCUUUAGUUUUUUUAAGCAGAAAAAAAAAGGUGAGGGGGGAUAUAAAAGGACUCCUACAACUCAGCAACAACCAAAAUCAAAUCAUCUGAUUUCUAACUGGGCAAAGGACUUGAAAGGCUAUUUCUCCAAAGGAGACAAAUGGCCAAGAAGCCAUGAAAAGAUGGUCAGCAUCACUGAGAAUUAGGGAAAUGCAAAUCAAAACUAUAAGGAGAUAUCGCCUCACACCCAUGAAGAGGGUUAGUAUUAAAUUUUUAAAAAAAAAACAGAAAAUCACAAGUAUUGGCAAGGAUGUGGAGAAAUUGGAACCCUCAUACACUGCUGGUGGGAAAUGGAGGUAUGGAGGUUCCUCAAAAAAUUAAAAAUAGAACGACCAUAUAUGAUUCAGCAAUUCCUCUUCCGGGUAUAUAGCCAAAAGCUUUGAAAGCAAGAUUGCAAAGAGACUUUUUCGCACUCAUGAUUAUAGCAGCAGUAUUGGCAGUAGCCAAAAGGCGGAAGCAACCCAUGUAUCCAUCAACAGAUGAAUGGAUAAUCAAACGUGCUCCGUCCAUACAAUGGAAUAUUAUUCAGCCUUUAAAAGGGAAUUUGGACACGCACUACAGCAGAGGUGAACCUCAAGGGCAUUACGCCAAUUCAACUAAGCCAGUCGUCAAAAGACAAAUCCUGUAUGAUUCCACUUACAUGAGCUGGGACCUGGUGGUGGUAUGUCCUGGGUCCUGAGAGCAGCACGAGGCUUGGAGGCCCUGGCAGAGAGAUCUUCAGCAAGACAGGCAUCUCUGCUACCCGACAGGAGGAGACCCCCAGCAGGGCUUGGACUCAUCUGAAUAGAAAGACGAGCAGCUGGCUUGGGAGAUGGGCAAAGCGAGGAGCUGGAGGGGAUAGGACACGGCUGAAGGCUGAGGCGUGCAGCCUCCAGCAUCUCUCUUCUUUACGAACUGGAUCCCUACAAGGAGAUUCUCAAGCUGAAGUCUGGGAAGACAGGAGGAAGUUGCAGAAGUACCUCCAAACCGUUGAUUCUGGGGCCUGGUGAGGGGAAUCUGCCAGCAUUCACUGCAGACUCCACCCGGACCCACUGGAAUGAAGAUUUUCCCAAGGAUGGGUUAAGAGCCACCUCCAGGGGUGGCUGUACUCGUCGGCGUUGAUCUGACAGUCACCGACUUCUCUCUUUGCCAAGAUUCCCUCCACCCACUUAUGAGACCAAAAUUCCCCCUUUACCACCUUCUCCUUCUUGUUGCCCCAGAAUGGGGGAACUCACGGUGAGCACACGGGGACACAGGUCCAAAAAUAGACUAGACAAAUGGCAGCAGGAAGAGAACUGCAAAGGGGUUGAUGAUUGCAUCAGUUAUCAGCACGAGUGCAGCUCUGAACGUCCUGGUAAGGAAAGGGAAAAAGAAAGGAAAACAGGAUGGUAUGCGGCCCUUAUUGUCUAAUAAAGGAAAACACACCAGUUCUUCGGGGAACUUUUUUUUUCCCUGGCAACGAAUUCUUGGAAGAAUUUAUGUGACAGAACGCUGCAGGGAAGCAUCCUUGUGUUGGGAAGGAAGCCACCUAGUCUGAGGGGCUUUGGAAAUUCCAGGCGUGUACAUGGGACAGGGGCCAGGCCAGGCCGCCAUCAUGGUCCAGCAGGCUCCAGGGAGGGAGGUGCUGGCGGGGUGGGGGGGUGAU